GUUAAUCCAAUGUAGCGCAGAUGUAUCACAUAAUUAGGCUGGAUGUGGAUUUUAUUUUGCUUAUGCAGACAUAGAUUCUUUUUUUAGGGUUUGGGAUUGUCACCAUCAACCAAACCACACACACACACACACACACACACACACACACACACACACAUGCAUGCACACUUGAGAUGAAUGAUCCAAGUUUUCCUCCGAUAACUAAACAAUGACUGUGUGUUUACUUCAAAAUUCACUUGAAUACCUGUGAGUAAUUUAUUGGCGUAAUCUUUAUGUAAGGCAAGAUGAGGCCAGGCGUUUAUAUGGCACCAAAACUGUAGCUGGCAACUGACCAUGAAGGCUGAUAACUGACAGUUGUAACACCGAAUACCAUUAUAACGUUGACAAAGAGAGGUUACAUCACUAACACACAUCUCAACAAACACACAUUCACUGGUAUUCAUUUGAACUACACCAGUGUCCUUAUGCAGCAGUUAAAGAAGAUAAUUGCUGAAACAAUUAGUUGAACCUAUUUUGACAUGGAUUCAAGACAUUUUUCAAUCAAAUAAAUGUUAUACAUUCAUGUUUCAUCCUCACAAAAUGCAAAGAUUAUCGGCUUUCUUUGUCUUACAUGGCAAUUGUCCUGCACACUGAGUACAUUUGGGCUUUUGGGAGUCAUACAUAAGACUAAAACUAUGCAGAAGUCAAUGUGAUAAGAGACAGAAAGAGAAAGGCUUCCAAUGCCAUAUGUACUCCGUUCCCAGUAUUGCCGACUGACUCACUUUGUGUCGAGUCAGCUCUUGCUCUCAUUAAAUAUUGUUUCAGACUCAAGACGCACAUUUUUUAGAGUUAGGGGAGCACAUUCAAGGUUCUCUGGCCUGUUUAUGUUCCUACUCUUCAUCUGCACAUUGUGAAAGGAACCUCCGCCUUUUUCUCUUUCUGUCUUUGCACCAGACAAAGAGAAUGAGAGUACAGUCUAGAAACAUACCCCCGUCUCUAUUACUCCUAUCACCUGUUCGAGGUUUCAUGUGGAGAUCGGUGCGAAGCUCGACUUCUCGAGGUAGCGAUUGCUGCUGAAACCGGCGCAACGUUCGUCUCAUUCGAUCCCACAGCCUCGUGGUCCUUUUUGAAAAGAGAAGCCGCACCUCCAGUUUAACCAUAUAAGAAACUGAACCUAAAACUGAUUCCUGAGCUUCUCCCUGACAGUGGAAACUGUGUGUGUGUGUGUGUGUGUGUGUG
Long non-coding RNA from Gasterosteus aculeatus aculeatus (three-spined stickleback), 1218 nucleotides. The record is from Ensembl. NCBI's taxonomy places the organism in Eukaryota, Metazoa, Chordata, Actinopteri, Perciformes, Gasterosteidae.